GCCGAGCUAGCUCAAUCGGUAGAGCGUGCGGCUCUUAAUAUGAGUUUAGACUUUUCGAACCAAAUAUUCGAAUAUCCAACCCAAUUGAUAAACCGCAAGGCUGCGGGUUCGAUCCCCGCGUUCGGCU
Blastomyces gilchristii SLH14081 is the source of this 127-nucleotide transfer RNA. It matches the Rfam family "tRNA". Rfam says of the family: Transfer RNA (tRNA) molecules are approximately 80 nucleotides in length. Their secondary structure includes four short double-helical elements and three loops (D, anti-codon, and T loops). Further hydrogen bonds mediate the characteristic L-shaped molecular structure. tRNAs have two regions of fundamental functional importance: the anti-codon, which is responsible for specific mRNA codon recognition, and the 3' end, to which the tRNAs corresponding amino acid is attached (by aminoacyl-tRNA synthetases). tRNAs cope with the degeneracy of the genetic code in two manners: having more than one tRNA (with a specific anti-codon) for a particular amino acid; and 'wobble' base-pairing, i.e. permitting non-standard base-pairing at the 3rd anti-codon position. The record is from Rfam. NCBI's taxonomy places the organism in Eukaryota, Fungi, Ascomycota, Eurotiomycetes, Onygenales, Ajellomycetaceae.